GUGCUCACUUCGGCAGCCCGUGUGCUAAAAUUGGAAUUCCGAGAAGACGGGCAUGGCCCCUGCUCAAGGACGACAGGAAAAUUCCUGAAGCAUUCCAUAUUUUU
Small nuclear RNA from Peromyscus maniculatus bairdii (prairie deer mouse), 104 nucleotides. The record is from Ensembl. Lineage: Eukaryota; Metazoa; Chordata; Mammalia; Rodentia; Cricetidae.